RNAcentral lists this long non-coding RNA (2673 nucleotides) under Arachis ipaensis. RNAcentral's name for it is "long non-coding RNA (AIPA_LNC002357)". Lineage: Eukaryota; Viridiplantae; Streptophyta; Magnoliopsida; Fabales; Fabaceae. The record is from RNAcentral.
UAACUCUUCCCUUCAGCAAAUGCCCUAGCUUCACCAAAGAAAGAAACCCUAGCCUCCACCAAUCUUGUCGCCGUCUGUCGGAGUGGGAAACUGCUGCUGCCGCCUCCGUUGCACUCAAGAACUUCCGUCUUCGUGCUAUCGGCGUUCGCUACUUCGAUCUCACCAACCCCUGUUCGCUCUACAUCCCCUGUUCGCUCUCACGAAUCGCCUGGUCGCCGUCGUCUGCGCGCUCAACAGCUCUUCGUCGUCCGUCGAAGGUCAAUACUCACUGCUAGUGGCUUGUUCUUUGUGUUUUUUUAUUGUCUGUUCAGAAAUCAAACCCUCUUCGUGCUUGUUCAUCGAUGGUCAGUGAUAGUCAUUUCUAGUGUUUUUGUUUUCAUUGCUUGAUGAUUAUUGAUUAAGUGAUGCGUUGCUGUUUUCUUUUUUUACUUUGUGCUUGAGAUUGAAUGCUCUGUCAGUGCUUAGUGCUUCUCUUGGAUGUUGUACAUGUAUAUGUGUUGUGUGUGCAUGUUUUCUAAGUUAUUGGGUCCUGUUUACUGUGCAGUGCUCUGAUUUCUUUUGGUCAUCUAAGAUAUCUUCAUUUGUUAAUUGUUAUGUUAAUAGAUCACGCUUUAAGAUACUGAAAGAUGGAAUGAUCAACUAUCAUGUAUUUCCAAAUUUGACUUGUGAUUUAGUCUAUUGGUUCACGUUAGAUAGCUAAUUAGCAAUGUACUGAUCACUUAUUAACAGUGGUUUUAAAAAUUAUGGUUUGAAAAUUGAAUUUCUAGAAACUGGUUUUAAAAGUGGAUUUUUUGUUAAAAUAUCUGGUUUGAAAAUUGGAUUUUUAAAAACUAGUUUUAAAAUUGGAUUUUUGGUUGAAGAAACUGGUUUUAAAACUGGAUUUUAUAAAAAAAAACCGGAUUUAAAACGGUUUGUAUGUAAAACCGAAUUGAAAACCGGUUUGUAAGUAAAACCGGAUUUAAAUUCUAAAACCGGUUUAAAACUGGUUUUUAUUUUUUCAAACCGGUUUAGAACUGGUUUUUCUCUUCAAUCCAGUUCUGGUUUAGUUUCAUGAACCAUAAAACUGGUUCUGAAGUGGAUCUAGUUUGGAUUUAUAAAAAUCCAAACCAUGUCCACCCCUAGUGAUAUUCAACAUUUAAUAGAUUUAGAUAUGAAUCUAGCCAAUUAAUUUAGCUUUGCCUUUUUCUUUCUUUCUUUUUUGUUUAGUCAUAAAAAAAAAAGGUAGGACCAAAUAUAGGAUUUUUUUUUCUUAAUUUAGAUUAGAGAAAGAUAAGAUGUGAUAUGUGUUGAAUUGAAGAUUGGUUUGUGAUAACACAUCUCUGGGCAAAUAUAAACAUGUGAUGUGCCUCCUAGUUCCCUUUUGGUGUCUGCAAUUCCUUUUCCUUCUCAUCUUUUUUGGUUCCCGAUAAAUUGUAUUGAUUUGUGAGGAAUCAAAAUCAAAUCAUGGAAAAAUUAUUCUGCUUUCUUGGCCUCGUUCGUGUUUGAUUAAUUUUCUGUCCUUGGAUUCAGUUUCUUCACAUUUAGGGUUUUGAGGAAAUGGCUGCGGCUUGCAAGCGAUUGGCUCAAUUGUCGGGCUUUAGGUCCUCAACUUUCAACUCAAGUCUCAGAUUAUUUUCCGCAAAGGGAGGGAUUGGUGAUACAACCGCUAUUGUAAUUUAAAUUUACCUUCUUACCAUUUUUAUUUUCUGUUUUCAUGGUUUUUUGUUGUGUUUUCUAACUAAUGUGCAAUUUUAAGCUCGAUAAUGAGUGUUAAUGAGUGGUUUGUCUUACCAUUUUUUGUCUUGCUUACGGCUUUUGCUUUCUAGACUAGGGAACUUGAGGAGCAAGGACUGCCCAAAAGGCAGGCUGAGGCAAUAACUGCCGAAGUUUUGGAAAAUUUUCAAGAAUCAUCCUGCAAGAGGGUGAGGUCUUUUGAUGUUUGUAUUCUUCGUUUGUGAACUUUACCAUUUUCUUGGAAUCUAAAAUAGUAGUUUCGUGUACUAACAUAAAUUUUUUUUCCCUCCUUUUUCUUUUUGUCCCUUGAAAGAUUGAAAUGCUUGAAGAGUCCAAUCAGUUGAAACUCAAAGCUGAAGUGAGGUCACAGGUAUUUGGAAUUUGUGUUUGCAAUCAUUCUCACUGUUUAUUUAUUUAAAUAACGACUGUAAUACUCAUGGGGCAUGUCUCAUAUUCUCAUUUAAUCAUGAGAUGAGAAAUUUGAUUAUAUUGAUAGCUUGAUGAUUAUUGAUUAAGUGAUGCGUUGCUGUUUUCUUUUUUUACUUUGUGCUUGAGAUUGAAUGCUCUGUCAGUGCUUAGUGCUUGUUCUUAGUUGAUUGGCUUUGCUCACUACUCUGGCUUGUUCUGGCCUGCUCUUGAUUGAUUAACUCUGUUACUGACUUAUUGAUUGAUGAUAAAUUGCUACUGAUAAGCUGUUACUGUUUUGUUAGGGAUAAAUUGUUACUGUUACUUAUAAAUUGUUAGGGAUUAGCUGUUACUGUUUUGUUAUGUUUGUUGCUUAAUGGUAAAAUAGAAAUCAAAUCAAAUAUUGUUUGUUGCUGAAUGAUAAUCUUUGUUGCUGAAUGCUGUUGGUAGUAUUAAUUCUGUGCUGCUAUUAAUUCUUUGGCGGUGCUGCUGCUGUUUUUAAUUUUGUGAAUGAUUUAUUAAUUUCAAUGAAAAAUUUGCCACAGAUGUUGAGGG